Molecule: ribosomal RNA, 693 nt
Filed under: uncultured Glomeromycotina
Lineage: Eukaryota; Fungi; Glomeromycota
Description: eukaryotic LSU rRNA
Rfam family: Eukaryotic large subunit ribosomal RNA
Source: RNAcentral
AUAACAAUGAUUCCCCUAGUAACGGCGAGCGAAGAGGGAAUAGCUCAAAUUUUAAAUCUGUUGGGUUUUACCUAACCGAAGUGUAAUUUGAAGAAGCGUUUUUCCGCGUUUUCGUUUAACCCAAAUCUUUUGGGAUAAGGUAUCAUGGAGGGUGAGAAUCCCGUCCGGUUAAAUCGAAUCGCUUUUACGAUACGCUUUCUAAGAGUCGAGUUGUUUGGGAUUGCAGCUCAAAAUGGGAGGUAAAUUUCUCCUAAGGCUAAAUACAGGCGAGAGACCGAUAGCGAACAAGUACCGUGAGGGAAAGAUGAAAAGAACUUUGAAAAGAGAGUUAAACAGUACGUGAAAUUGUUGAAAGGGAAACGAUUAAAGUCAGUCAUACUGACGGGGAAUCAACCUUUUGAACGUGUAUUCGUGGGAUUCAAAGAGAUUUUGUGCUCAUGACAUUCGCGUUUAUUUGGUGCACUUUCUCGUGUUUGUAGGUUAACAUCGGUUUUUGAUCGUUAUAAAAUGAUUGAAGGAAUGUAGCUUCGAUUUCGAUUGAAGUGUUAUAACCUUUGGUAGAUGUAACGGUUAGGAUCGAGGAUUGCAACGGAUGCCCUAAUGGGCUAUUCGCCUGGCCUCUGAUACGUCGCUUUGGCUUCGAAAGCAUGCUUACGAUGUUAAAGCGUGCGGUCAAAAGGUUAGAACGGAUUA